GAUGAACGCUGGCGGCGUGCCUAAUACAUGCAAGUCGAGCGAACGGACGAGAAGCUUGCUUUUCUGAUGUUAGCGGCGGACGGGUGAGUAACACGUGGAUAACCUACCUAUAAGACUGGGAUAACUUCGGGAAACCGGAGCUAAUACCGGAUAAUAUUUUGAACCGCAUGGUUCAAAAGUGAAAGACGGUCUUGCUGUCACUUAUAGAUGGAUCCGCGCUGCAUUAGCUAGUUGGUAAGGUAACGGCUUACCAAGGCAACGAUGCAUAGCCGACCUGAGAGGGUGAUCGGCCGCACUGGAACUGAGACACGGUCCAGACUCCUACGGGAGGCAGCAGUAGGGAAUCUUCCGCAAUGGGCGAAAGCCUGACGGAGCAACGCCGCGUGAGUGAUGAAGGUCUUCGGAUCGUAAAACUCUGUUAUUAGGGAAGAACAUAUGUGUAAGUAACUGUGCACAUCUUGACGGUACCUAAUCAGAAAGCCACGGCUAACUACGUG
This 497-nucleotide ribosomal RNA is filed under the name uncultured bacterium. Its description in RNAcentral is "partial 16S ribosomal RNA". It matches the Rfam family "Bacterial small subunit ribosomal RNA", at positions 28 to 507 of the family's 1533-position model. The record is from RNAcentral.